AACGAACGCUGGCGGCAUGCCUAACACAUGCAAGUCGAACGAGACCUUCGGGUCUAGUGGCGCACGGGUGCGUAACGCGUGGGAACCUGCCCUUAGGUUCGGAAUCACUCCCCGAAAGGGGUGCUAAUACCGGAUAAUGUCUUCGGACCAAAGAUUUAUCGCCUUUGGAUGGGCCCGCGUUUGUUUAGCUAGUUGGUAGGGUAAAAGCCUACCAAGGCGACGAUCCAUAGCUGGUCUGAGAGGAUGAUCAGCCACACUGGGACUGAGACACGGCCCAGACUCCUACGGGAGGGAGCAGUGGGGAAUAUUGGACAAUGGGCGAAAGCCAGAUCCAGCAAUGCCGCGUGAGUGAUGAAGGCCUUAGGGUUGUAAAGCUCUUUUACCCGGGAUGAUAAUGACAGUACCGGGAGAAUAAGCUCCGGCUAACUCCGUG
This 433-nucleotide ribosomal RNA is filed under the name uncultured bacterium. RNAcentral describes it as "partial 16S ribosomal RNA". It matches the Rfam family "Bacterial small subunit ribosomal RNA", at positions 29 to 507 of the family's 1533-position model. The record is from RNAcentral.